Molecule: ribosomal RNA, 291 nt
Filed under: uncultured bacterium
Lineage: Bacteria
Description: partial 16S ribosomal RNA
Rfam family: Archaeal small subunit ribosomal RNA
Source: RNAcentral
GUGCCAGCAGCGCGGUAAUACCGGCAGCCCGAGUUAUGGCCGAUCUUAUUGGGCCUAAAGCGUCCGUAGCUGGCUGCGCAAGUCCGUCGGGAAAUCCACUCGCCCAACGAGUGGGCGUCCGACGGAAACUGCACGGCUUGGGACCGGAAGACUCGAGAGGUACGUCCGGGGUAGGAGUGAAAUCCCGUAAUCCCGAACGGACCACCGAUGGCGAAAGCAUCUCGAGAAAACGGAUCCGACAGUGAGGGACGAAAGCUAGGGUCUCGAACCGGAUUAGAUACCCCAGUGUCC